This 445-nucleotide ribosomal RNA is filed under the name uncultured bacterium. RNAcentral's name for it is "bacterial SSU rRNA". It matches the Rfam family "Bacterial small subunit ribosomal RNA", at positions 331 to 792 of the family's 1533-position model. The record is from RNAcentral.
CCAGACUCCUACGGGAGGCAGCAGUGGGGGAUAUUGCACAAUGGGGGGAACCCUGAUGCAGCGACGCCGCGUGGGUGAAGGAGUGCUUCGGCAUGUAAAGCCCUAUCGGCAGGGAAGAAGCAAGACGGUACCUGACUAAGAAGCCCCGGCUAACUACGUGCCAGCAGCCGCGGUAAUACGUAGGGGGCAAGCGUUAUCCGGAUUUACUGGGUGUAAAGGGAGCGUAGACGGCAGUGCAAGUCUGGAGUGAAAGGCGGGGGCUCAACCCCCGGACUGCUCUGGAAACUGUACGGCUGGAGUGCAGGAGAGGUAAGUGGAAUUCCUAGUGUAGCGGUGAAAUGCGUAGAUAUUAGGAGGAACACCAGUGGCGAAGGCGGCUUACUGGACUGUAACUGACGUUGAGGCUCGAAAGCGUGGGGAGCAAACAGGAUUAGAUACCCGCGUA